This 118-nucleotide small RNA is filed under the name Streptomyces cellostaticus. RNAcentral describes it as "Streptomyces-metK RNA". It matches the Rfam family "Streptomyces-metK RNA". The record is from Rfam by way of RNAcentral. Lineage: Bacteria; Bacillati; Actinomycetota; Actinomycetes; Kitasatosporales; Streptomycetaceae.
GCGAGACGGGUGGGCCGGAGGCACGGUGCGACCGAUAAACUGUUCUCGGAUGACGCCGGGCGCAGCCCCCCGCGUCGUCCGCCAAUGAUCAGCCAGCAGCCGCUGCAACCCCAGGGAG